CGGAAAAGUGCCCUUGAAAAUUGCUUACUCUCCCACUAAAAUAUACAGGAUUUGUACUCCAAGGGACAAAGCAGAAGUACAAUGAAUAACUGCAAUCAGGAAAAAACAAUUUUCUGUUGCUGAAGCAGAAGCUGGAAGAUGAUCAGAGAGGAAAGCAGAAACACUGAGAUCUGUGAGGAUACAAGCAAAUAAAGAAAAGUAAAAGAGGUUAGAUUAUGAAACAAAUUGUGGUUCAAACCAGGCAGAGGAAAGCUUCUAUCAAACGAGUUUUAACCUUCCACAUGCUUUCAUUUAUAAUUAUUAUUUAUGACGAUUACUACCAUCAAUUUGUUUAGUGAGCUGAGUGUACAUGUUAUCCUGGCAAGUGUCAAUGAAAUAAACAAUCUCUUCCCCUUCAAAUCUAAUAUGCUAAAAGUGGCAGGAUACUAACUAGAUCUCGCACAACCUGAUAAAAUUAUUACAGCCUGAACAUGUGUAGUAUAGAGGAGUCUUUUAAGAAGAUCUCUGAAGGAAGAAACUGAAGGAUGCUGACAUAUUAAUAAGAAAGCUGCUGCAAGCAUAUGCACAGGCUGAAGAUGUGCAGUCUGGAGUGUGCAGGGGACAUGAGGCAGGGUUGAGGGCAGGCAUGGGGAGGAGAAGAGCUGGUCCAAGCCUUGCUGUUGAGUCAGGACAAUGCUCAGAGCCAAGUAGGUGAUUUUACUGGCAAACCAGCCUCCUCAUCAAGACUGCCAUGCAAGAGAGAUAUCGCCUCUGAAGAAGGCACAAUUUAGCCUCUUACCCUUUCUCAGGGAGGCAACGAGAGAGGACCUAAAAUGAG
Long non-coding RNA from Neopsephotus bourkii (Bourke's parrot), 817 nucleotides. RefSeq lists it as uncharacterized. NCBI's taxonomy places the organism in Eukaryota, Metazoa, Chordata, Aves, Psittaciformes, Psittacidae. The transcript has 3 exons. The record is from RefSeq and is a predicted model, not a curated record.